This 1128-nucleotide ribosomal RNA is filed under the name Triticum aestivum (bread wheat). RNAcentral describes it as "partial small subunit ribosomal RNA". Lineage: Eukaryota; Viridiplantae; Streptophyta; Magnoliopsida; Poales; Poaceae. The record is from RNAcentral.
AUGGCGGGUCUUGACUUUGUUAGGCUGGGAUUGGAUGGUUGCGGAGGGUGGUGUGCUUGGUUGGGUUCCCAUGGAAGAAUGUGGCCUCCUCGUGGAUCUGGUCAUGCCCAUCCUAGAGAACAUUGUAGUGAAGGAGGAAUUAAAAUCCAAAAGUGGGAAAGGAGCCGAAGCAAAUGGAACGAAUUGACUGACGCCAUGAAGCAAGGACGAGGAGAUCACCAAACAUGGUAUUCUGCAUUUUAUAUUCUUUCUAUCCCACAUGGAACAAUAAGUACAGAUUUGAUUAGUUUCUUGAUGGAAUAUUGCGACCUGUUAGACAAAGCAGAUGAAUGUGAGGAUCCACACAUGUGUAUGGUAUAUGCUUCUACAUGGGCCUUGUCAGCCUACUUAGCCUACCACCGUACGGGGAAGCCUUUCAAUUCCAUCCUUGAAGAGACGUAUGAGAUGGUUAAACACCAGGGUAUUACAUUUAUCGCUGUGCAGCCACAUCCUCCGAUGGGUGUAGCUCACUGUGAGAACGAUCCAUUUACUUACGACAUCACAUCAAAGUUGAAGACAAAGUUCUUGGAAAACUAUGUGGCAGUGUAUCUUGGAAGGACUAGAGUGACACUUGCCAAACCGGGUGUCGUGCUAGAACUGGUACCACCGCUGGCCAAGAUCAACAACUUGAUAUUUGGGUGCACAUGGGUAGACUCCUUUGGAGAGAUGGUCUUGAUAAAUCCGACAACUAGAGACAAAGCUGUGCUGUAUUUCCAGCCAUGCAGCUGGUUUAGAUAUCUAAUAGUACACAUCUUCGCAGGUACCAUGAUAAUCAUUCAUCCGAGAUCUUCUUAUAAAGCAAUUCAGUUUUGGAACUUAGAUUUAGCAAUUACUCCCUCUUACUCCCGUUGUCUGGUUACUUGCAGCUUUGGCGACCGCUUAGCCGCCCCCAGGACCGGGAUGCCAUCUCUGCCUCCAUCGCCGACCUCCGCUCUAUGGCUGUUCGUUUGUCGCCGCCGCCUCCUCUGCCACCCCCCGAGCCGGAUAGGGGCUGGGCACGUUCUCCGGCCUCCCCCGGCCGUUCUUUUUCUUUUGUUUGGGCUUGUUGAGCUGUGCCCUCAGCAGAACUUAUUGUACUUCUUGUCGUGA